UGGGGAAUAUUGGACAAUGGGCGCAAGCCUGAUCCAGCCAUGCCGCGUGUGUGAAGAAGGCCUUCGGGUUGUAAAGCACUUUUGUCCGGAAAGAAAAGCGCUCGAUUAAUACUCGGGUGUUAUGACGGUACCGGAAGAAUAAGCACCGGCUAACUUCGUGCCAGCAGCCGCGGUAAUACGAAGGGUGCAAGCGUUACUCGGAAUUACUGGGCGUAAAGCGUGCGUAGGUGGUUUGUUAAGUCUGAUGUGAAAGCCCUGGGCUCAACCUGGGAACUGCAUUGGAAACUGGCUUACUAGAGUGCGGUAGAGGGGUGUGGAAUUCCCGGUGUAGCAGUGAAAUGCGUAGAUAUCGGGAGGAACAUCUGUGGCGAAGGCGACACCCUGGACCAGCACUGACACUGAGGCACGAAAGCGUGGGGAGCAAACAGGAUUAGAUACCCUGGUAGUCCACGCCCUAAACGAUGCGAACUGGAUGUUGGGGGCAACUUGGCCCUCAGUAUCGAAGCUAACGCGUUAAGUUCGCCGCCUGGGAAGUACGGUCGCAAGACUG
RNAcentral lists this ribosomal RNA (550 nucleotides) under uncultured bacterium. RNAcentral describes it as "bacterial SSU rRNA". It matches the Rfam family "Bacterial small subunit ribosomal RNA", at positions 355 to 896 of the family's 1533-position model. The record is from RNAcentral.